This 497-nucleotide ribosomal RNA is filed under the name uncultured bacterium. RNAcentral describes it as "partial 16S ribosomal RNA". It matches the Rfam family "Bacterial small subunit ribosomal RNA", at positions 28 to 507 of the family's 1533-position model. The record is from RNAcentral.
GAUGAACGCUGGCGGCGUGCCUAAUACAUGCAAGUCGAGCGAACAGACGAGGAGCUUGCUCCUCUGACGUUAGCGGCGGACGGGUGAGUAACACGUGGAUAACCUACCUAUAAGACUGGGAUAACUUCGGGAAACCGGAGCUAAUACCGGAUAAUAUAUUGAACCGCAUGGUUCAAUAGUGAAAGACGGUUUUGCUGUCACUUAUAGAUGGAUCCGCGCCGCAUUAGCUAGUUGGUAAGGUAACGGCUUACCAAGGCAACGAUGCGUAGCCGACCUGAGAGGGUGAUCGGCCACACUGGAACUGAGACACGGUCCAGACUCCUAAGGGAGGCAGCAGUAGGGAAUCUUCCGCAAUGGGCGAAAGCCUGACGGAGCAAAGCCGCGUGAGUGAUGAAGGUCUUCGGAUCGUAAAACUCUGUUAUUAGGGAAGAACAAAUGUGUAAGUAACUAUGCACGUCUUGACGGUACCUAAUCAGAAAGCCACGGCUAACUACGUG